This 207-nucleotide unclassified non-coding RNA is filed under the name Hevea brasiliensis (rubber tree). Lineage: Eukaryota; Viridiplantae; Streptophyta; Magnoliopsida; Malpighiales; Euphorbiaceae. The record is from RNAcentral.
CCUCACUCAAAAUCACACAAAUUUUUACCUUUUUUACUUCUUCUCUCUGUCCAUUUCUUUCCUUGCACCAGAUUUAGGAGCUAUGAUUCGGCUUUUUAAAGUAAAGGAGAAGCAGAAAGAACUUGCUGAAAAUGCCAAUGGAGGGGUACCCAUCAAAAAGCAAACUGCUGGAGAAUUACGUCUUCAUAAGGAUAUUUCUGAGCUGAA